This 759-nucleotide long non-coding RNA is filed under the name Homo sapiens (human). RNAcentral describes it as "long non-coding RNA NONHSAT094511.2". Lineage: Eukaryota; Metazoa; Chordata; Mammalia; Primates; Hominidae. The record is from RNAcentral.
GCCUCAUCGCUCUGCUCCCGCUCCUUAGGGAAGCCUCGGUGAUUCUGCCACAGCCUCAGCCUCUGUGGCUCUGUGACCUGCCGGUAUUGGAUGAUUCGUAUCUAAGACUCUGGGACACUCCUGAAGUCGGGAAAUGGUGAGUGUGCAGGGCAGGGCGUCCCAAGGCUGUGGAGGCCUCAUCGGAACCGGCGGGAAAUGGCGGCGGUGGGAGGAGUCUGUGAAUGGAGUUCCCGCUCAGCCCUCUGUCCUCAGUCCCCUCCGGUGAGGGACCCGCGCUCUUGUCAGUCCCCGUACAGCGGCUCUGGCCCAGCCUGCAGCCCUCCUUGUGCAGCUCUGCGCCGGUAGCCCUGCACUUUCCCCGGGCUGUGGAGUGAGUAGGAGCUCAUCCGGAAGACACCGCGGCGGCCUGCGCGGUGCCGGCGUGGGAGGAGCUGUGGUCCGGAAUCCCGUCCCUACUUUACCCUGUUCAGAAUGAGAUUGAGGCCCCAUCAAAACAUGGAGUUCAUGUGAGCAAACAGGACUUAUUAAUGGGAAAGCUCUGCCGUGGCUCGUGGUUUGGGGACUGCCAGCGGGUCUUGAAGGAAAGGCUUUUGUGAGGUGUGUGAGGAAGCGAAGCAAAUCACCUGCCUGCGCCAACUUUGCCGCCAGUCCCCUUGCCCUGUGCGCCUCCUCCGCGUGGCUGUUCCUGAAUACGCUGGUGUCUGUUCGCAUCUUUUAGAAUACGCUGGUGUCGGUGCGCACAGCGCUUCUCUUAGUUCU